This is a non-coding RNA of Podarcis lilfordi (Lilford's wall lizard), 75 nucleotides long. NCBI's taxonomy places the organism in Eukaryota, Metazoa, Chordata, Lepidosauria, Squamata, Lacertidae. The record is from the annotation of a GenBank genome assembly.
GAUAUCAACUCAGUGGCUUGGUAGAACAUGAGACUCUUAAUCUCAGGGUUGUGGAUUCAAGCCCCACGUUGGGCU